This 244-nucleotide ribosomal RNA is filed under the name uncultured bacterium. RNAcentral describes it as "partial 16S ribosomal RNA". It matches the Rfam family "Bacterial small subunit ribosomal RNA", at positions 524 to 764 of the family's 1533-position model. The record is from RNAcentral.
UACGGAGGGGGCGAGCGUUAUUCGGAAUUAUUGGGCGUAAAGGGCGCGUAGGCGGCUGUACAAGUCAAAGGUGAAAUCCCUCGGCUCAACUGAGGAACUGCCUUUGAAACUGUACGGGCUUGAGGCCGGGAGGGGGUAGCGGAAUUCCCAGUGUAGCGGUGAAAUGCGUAGAUACUGGGGAGGAACACCAGUGGCGAAGGCGCUACCUGGACCGGUUCUGAACGCUGAGGCGCGGAAAGCGUGG